This 29-nucleotide non-coding RNA is filed under the name Mus musculus (house mouse). Lineage: Eukaryota; Metazoa; Chordata; Mammalia; Rodentia; Muridae. The record is from RNAcentral.
UGCAAUCAUACGGACAGCCCAACCUACAU